This 82-nucleotide microRNA precursor is filed under the name Podarcis lilfordi (Lilford's wall lizard). Lineage: Eukaryota; Metazoa; Chordata; Lepidosauria; Squamata; Lacertidae. The record is from RNAcentral.
UCAUUCUGAAGCUGUUUUGGUGUCUUUCCUGCCAUCUAGUGACACAGAUGGCAGGGAAGACUCCAAAACAGCUUCAGAAUGA